CAGUAGCCGCGGGAAUACAGAGGAUGCAAGCGUUAUCCGGAAUGAUUGGGCGUAAAGGGUGCGUAGGCGGCUUGACAAGUCUUGUGUGAAAUCUAUGGGCUCAACCCUUAGUCUGCACGGGAAACUGUCGGGCUUGAGAAUGGGAGAGGUGAGUGGAAUUUCCGGUGUAGCGGUGAAAUGCGUAGAUAUCGGAAGGAACACCUGUGGCGAAAGCGGCUCACUGGACCAUUUCUGACGCUGAUGCACGAAAGCUAGGGGAGCAAACAGGAUUAGAUACCCCGGUAGUCCCUGUCUCUUAUAC
Molecule: ribosomal RNA, 301 nt
Filed under: uncultured bacterium
Lineage: Bacteria
Description: partial 16S ribosomal RNA
Rfam family: Bacterial small subunit ribosomal RNA
Source: RNAcentral